UACGUAGGGGGCAAGCGUUGUCCGGAUUUAUUGGGCGUAAAGAGCGUGUAGGCGGCUUGGUAGGUCCGCUGUGAAAACUCGAGGCUCAACCUCGAGAUGUCGGCGGAAACCACUUGGCUAGAGUCCGGAAGAGGAGAGUGGAAUUCCCGGUGUAGCGGUGAAAUGCGCAGAUAUCGGGAGGAACACCAGUGGCGAAGGCGACUACCUGGCCUGUUCUUGACGCUGAGGCGCGAAAGCUAGGGGAGCAAACGGG
This 253-nucleotide ribosomal RNA is filed under the name uncultured bacterium. RNAcentral describes it as "partial 16S ribosomal RNA". It matches the Rfam family "Bacterial small subunit ribosomal RNA", at positions 524 to 776 of the family's 1533-position model. The record is from RNAcentral.